This 76-nucleotide transfer RNA is filed under the name candidate division WWE3 bacterium CG_4_9_14_3_um_filter_34_6. RNAcentral describes it as "tRNA-Thr". It matches the Rfam family "tRNA". From Rfam's summary of the family: Transfer RNA (tRNA) molecules are approximately 80 nucleotides in length. Lineage: Bacteria; candidate division WWE3. The record is from RNAcentral.
GCCUUCUUAGCUCAGUUGGUAGAGCGCCUCCAUGGUAAGGAGGAGGUCUCCAGUUCAAAUCUGGAAGAAGGCUCCA